AUUAUCAUUAUCAAUUGUUGUCAUUAUUUGUUUAUUUUUAUUUUAUUUAUCAUUAUUUAUUAUUAUUUGUAUAAGUUUUCCAGAUUAUUAUUAUUAUUAGUUUUGUUUUAUUAUUAUUAUCAUAUUUAUUUAUUGAUUAAUUGGUCAUUACUUAUUAAAUAUUUUUAAAAAAAAAAAUUGAUUUAAUUGUCCGAUUGAUUUUUCACAGAUGCGUAGUAAUU
RNAcentral lists this long non-coding RNA (221 nucleotides) under Lathyrus oleraceus (garden pea). RNAcentral's name for it is "Pisum sativum (pea) long non-coding RNA (PSAT_LNC009265)". The record is from RNAcentral. Lineage: Eukaryota; Viridiplantae; Streptophyta; Magnoliopsida; Fabales; Fabaceae.